RNAcentral lists this transfer RNA (72 nucleotides) under Sphaerodactylus townsendi. Its description in RNAcentral is "tRNA-Ala". It matches the Rfam family "tRNA". Rfam says of the family: Transfer RNA (tRNA) molecules are approximately 80 nucleotides in length. Their secondary structure includes four short double-helical elements and three loops (D, anti-codon, and T loops). Further hydrogen bonds mediate the characteristic L-shaped molecular structure. tRNAs have two regions of fundamental functional importance: the anti-codon, which is responsible for specific mRNA codon recognition, and the 3' end, to which the tRNAs corresponding amino acid is attached (by aminoacyl-tRNA synthetases). tRNAs cope with the degeneracy of the genetic code in two manners: having more than one tRNA (with a specific anti-codon) for a particular amino acid; and 'wobble' base-pairing, i.e. permitting non-standard base-pairing at the 3rd anti-codon position. Lineage: Eukaryota; Metazoa; Chordata; Lepidosauria; Squamata; Sphaerodactylidae. The record is from RNAcentral.
GGGACUGUGGCUCAGUGGCAGAGCAUCUGCUUGGCGUGCAGAAGGUCACAGGAUCGCUCCCUGGCAGCUCCA